RNAcentral lists this ribosomal RNA (465 nucleotides) under uncultured bacterium. Its description in RNAcentral is "partial 16S ribosomal RNA". It matches the Rfam family "Bacterial small subunit ribosomal RNA", at positions 28 to 507 of the family's 1533-position model. The record is from RNAcentral.
GACGAACGCUGGCGGCGUGCUUAACACAUGCAAGUCGAACGGAAAGGCCCCUUUGGGGGUACUCGAGUGGCGAACGGGUGAGUAACACGUGAGUAACCUGCCCUUGACUUCGGGAUAACUUCAGGAAACUGGGGCUAAUACCGGAUAGGAAUCCUUGCUGCAUGGUGGGGGUUGGAAAGCUUCGGCGGUUUUGGAUGGACUCGCGGCUUAUCAGCUUGUUGGUGGGGUAGUGGCUUACCAAGGCUUUGACGGGUAGCCGGCCUGAGAGGGCGACCGGCCACAUUGGGACUGAGAUACGGCCCAGACUCCUACGGGAGGCAGCAGUGGGGAAUAUUGCACAGUGGGCGGAAGCCUGAUGCAGCAACGCCGCGUGCGGGAUGACGGCCUUCGGGUUGUAAACCGCUUUCAGCAGGGGCGAAGCUUGUGGUGACGGUACCUGCAGAAGAAGCACCGGCUAACUACGUG